This 104-nucleotide non-coding RNA is filed under the name Caryophanon tenue. RNAcentral's name for it is "SAM-I sequence". It matches the Rfam family "SAM riboswitch aptamer (S box leader)". From Rfam's summary of the family: The SAM riboswitch is found upstream of a number of genes which code for proteins involved in methionine or cysteine biosynthesis in Gram-positive bacteria. Lineage: Bacteria; Bacillati; Bacillota; Bacilli; Caryophanales; Caryophanaceae. The record is from Rfam by way of RNAcentral.
UUCUUAUCGAGAGAAGUGGAGGGACUGGCCCGACGAAGCUUCAGCAACCAGCGAUUAAGCAAGGUGCUAAAUCCAGCAGAACAUAUUGUUUUGGCAGAUGAGCG